CCUACGGGAGGCUGCAGUGAGGAAUAUUGGUCAAUGGGCGGGAGCCUGAACCAGCCAAGCCGCGUGAGGGAAGAAGGUACAGCGUAUUGUAAACCUCUUUUGUCAGGGAACAAAGGCGGGGACUAGUCCCCGGAUGAGGGUACCUGAAGAAAAAGCAUCGGCUGACUCCGUGCCAGCAGCCGCGGUAAUACGGAGGAUGCGAGCGUUAUCCGGAUUUAUUGGGGUUAAAGGGUGCGCAGGCGGCCUGUUAAGUCAGCGGUAAAAGCCCGGGGCUCACCCCCGGCGAGCCGUUGAAACUGGCGGGCUGGAGUUGGAGAGAAGUACGCGGAAUGCGCGGUGUAGCGGUGAAAUGCUUAGAUAUCGCGCAGAACCCCGAUUGCGAAGGCAGCGUACCGGCGCCACACUGACGCUGAGGCACGAAAGCGUGGGUAUCGAACAGGAUUAGAUACCCCUGUAGUC
Molecule: ribosomal RNA, 459 nt
Filed under: uncultured bacterium
Lineage: Bacteria
Description: partial 16S ribosomal RNA
Rfam family: Bacterial small subunit ribosomal RNA
Source: RNAcentral